GGACCUUACCUGGCCUUGACAUGGCAGGAACCCUUCAGAGAUGAAGGGGUGCUAGCUUGCUAGAACCUGCACACAGGUGCUGCACGGCUGUCGUCAGCUCGUGUCGUGAGAUGUUGGGUUAAGUCCCGCAACGAGCGCAACCCUCGUCUUUAGUUGCUAACAGUUAGGCUGAGCACUCUAAAGAGACUGCCUCCGUAAGGAGGAGGAAGGUGAGGACGACGUCAAGUCAUCAUGGCCCUUACGGCCAGGGCUACACACGUGCUACAAUGGGGCGUACAGAGAGCUGCAAUACCGCGAGGUGGAGCCAAUCUCUUAAAGCGUCUCUCAGUUCGGAUUGUUCUCUGCAACUCGAGAACAUGAAGCUGGAAUCACUAGUAU
This 378-nucleotide ribosomal RNA is filed under the name uncultured bacterium. RNAcentral's name for it is "bacterial SSU rRNA". It matches the Rfam family "Bacterial small subunit ribosomal RNA", at positions 966 to 1341 of the family's 1533-position model. The record is from RNAcentral.